Molecule: ribosomal RNA, 253 nt
Filed under: uncultured bacterium
Lineage: Bacteria
Description: partial 16S ribosomal RNA
Rfam family: Bacterial small subunit ribosomal RNA
Source: RNAcentral
UACGUAGGGGGCAAGCGUUGUCCGGAAUCAUUGGGCGUAAAGAGCGCGUAGGCGGCCCAGUAAGUCCGCUCUGAAAGUCAGGGGCUCAACCCCUGGAUGCGGGUGGAUACUGCUGGGCUAGAGUCCGGAAGAGGUGAGUGGAAUUCCUGGUGUAGCGGUGAAAUGCGCAGAUAUCAGGAGGAACACCAAUUGCGAAGGCAGCUCGCUGGGACGUUACUGACGCUGAGACGCGAAAGCGUGGGGAGCAAACAGG